UGUUCUGAUGAUACUGGUAAUAGGAAGUGCCGUCAGAAACGAUAACUGACGAGAUUUAUACUCAUCUGACU
This 71-nucleotide small nucleolar RNA is filed under the name Sciurus vulgaris (Eurasian red squirrel). RNAcentral's name for it is "Small nucleolar RNA SNORD49 (ENSSVLG00005011723.1)". It matches the Rfam family "Small nucleolar RNA SNORD49". From Rfam's summary of the family: U49 belongs to the C/D class of snoRNA which contain the C (UGAUGA) and D (CUGA) box motifs. Most of the members of the box C/D family function in directing site-specific 2'-O-methylation of substrate RNAs. Lineage: Eukaryota; Metazoa; Chordata; Mammalia; Rodentia; Sciuridae. The record is from Rfam by way of RNAcentral.